UAAAGUGCCAAGUGGAAAAGAUGAACAGU
This 29-nucleotide non-coding RNA is filed under the name Rattus norvegicus (Norway rat). The record is from RNAcentral. Lineage: Eukaryota; Metazoa; Chordata; Mammalia; Rodentia; Muridae.